This 425-nucleotide ribosomal RNA is filed under the name uncultured bacterium. RNAcentral's name for it is "partial 16S ribosomal RNA". It matches the Rfam family "Bacterial small subunit ribosomal RNA", at positions 354 to 796 of the family's 1533-position model. The record is from RNAcentral.
GUGGGGAAUAUUGGACAAUGGGCGCAAGCCUGAUCCAGCCAUGCCGCGUGAGUGAUGAAGGCCUUAGGGUUGUAAAGCUCUUUCAGUGGGGACGAUAAUGACGGUACCCACAGAAGAAGCCCCGGCUAACUUCGUGCCAGCAGCCGCGGUAAUACGAAGGGGGCUAGCGUUGUUCGGAUUUACUGGGCGUAAAGCGCACGUAGGCGGAUCGUUAAGUCGGGGGUGAAAUCCUGGAGCUCAACUCCAGAACUGCCUUCGAUACUGGCGAUCUUGAGUCCGGAAGAGGUGAGGGGAACUCCUAGUGUAGAGGUGGAAUUCGUAGAUAUUAGGAAGAACACCAGUGGCGAAGGCGGCUCACUGGUCCGGUACUGACGCUGAGGUGCGAAAGCGUGGGGAGCAAACAGGAUUAGAAACCCCAGUAGUCC